RNAcentral lists this long non-coding RNA (691 nucleotides) under Physcomitrium patens. Its description in RNAcentral is "long non-coding RNA (PPAT_LNC012762)". Lineage: Eukaryota; Viridiplantae; Streptophyta; Bryopsida; Funariales; Funariaceae. The record is from RNAcentral.
GGUUAGGAUUUGAUUUAGGAUUUGGAUUAGGGUUUGGUUAGGUUUUGAUUUAAGGUUUGGUUUAGGGUUUAGGAUUUGGAUUAGAAUUUAGGAUUGGAUUAGGAUUUGGAUUAUGAUUUGGUUAGGAUUUGAUUUAGGGUUUGGAUUAGGGUUUAGGAUUUGAUUAGGGUUUGAUUUAGGAUUUGGAUUAGGGUUUGGUUAGGAUUUGAUUUAAGGUUUGGUUUAGGAUUUAGGAUUGGAUUAGGGUUUGGUUUAGGGUUUGAUUUAGAGUUUGAUUUAGGGUUUAGGGUUUGGAAUAGGAUUUAAUUUAAGAUUUGUUUAGGAUUUGACUUAGGGUUUAGGAAUUAUUAGGGUUUAAGAUUUAAUUAGGUUUGAUCUAAAGUUGAAUGAAAUUUAAUAGGGUUUUAGCUAGAAUUAAAUUAAAGUUUAAUUGACAUAUAUUUGAAGAAAAUUUGUGAUUAUUCUAAUAUUUCUUUAAGAAUUUUAUUGUUUGUUUGAAAUUUCUUUGAGUUGUUUUGAAUUGGAUUACGUUUGUUUACCAUUAUUAUAGUCUAAUUAGAGCAUUGUUAGUAUUCUAUUUAGGAUUUUGUUAUCGCAAUUUCUAUUCUUCCUUCUAUAGCCAGGUGCCCGGAGCAUUCUUAAGCAAGACUUCACACAUUAUGACAAUGCAUGUGCUAAAUGUCCAAUCAUU